AACGAACGCUGGCGGCGUGCCUAACACAUGCAAGUCGUGCGAGAAAGUUCCUUCGGGAGCGAGUAAAGCGGCGCACGGGUGAGUAACACGUAGGUAACCUGCCCCCCAGUCUGGAACAACUAGAGGAAACUCUAGCUAAUGCCGGAUGAGACCACGAUCCCGUUCGGGGGUUGCGGCCAAAGAUGGCCUCUACUUGUAAGCUAUCGCUGAGGGAUGGGCCUGCGGGCCAUUAGCUUGUUGGUGAGGUAACGGCUCACCAAGGCUGUGAUGGCUAGCUGGUCUGAGAGGAUGACCAGCCACACUGGGACUGAGACACGGCCCAGACUCCUACGGGAGGCAGCAGUGGGAAUAUUGCGCAAUGGGCGAAGCCUGACGCAGCGACGCCGCGUGGGUGAUGAAGGCC
RNAcentral lists this ribosomal RNA (403 nucleotides) under uncultured bacterium. RNAcentral's name for it is "bacterial SSU rRNA". It matches the Rfam family "Bacterial small subunit ribosomal RNA", at positions 29 to 416 of the family's 1533-position model. The record is from RNAcentral.